Molecule: transfer RNA, 72 nt
Filed under: Cronartium ribicola 11-2
Lineage: Eukaryota; Fungi; Basidiomycota; Pucciniomycetes; Pucciniales; Coleosporiaceae
Description: tRNA-Trp (CCA) (tRNA-Trp-CCA-12-1)
Rfam family: tRNA
About the family: Transfer RNA (tRNA) molecules are approximately 80 nucleotides in length. Their secondary structure includes four short double-helical elements and three loops (D, anti-codon, and T loops). Further hydrogen bonds mediate the characteristic L-shaped molecular structure. tRNAs have two regions of fundamental functional importance: the anti-codon, which is responsible for specific mRNA codon recognition, and the 3' end, to which the tRNAs corresponding amino acid is attached (by aminoacyl-tRNA synthetases). tRNAs cope with the degeneracy of the genetic code in two manners: having more than one tRNA (with a specific anti-codon) for a particular amino acid; and 'wobble' base-pairing, i.e. permitting non-standard base-pairing at the 3rd anti-codon position.
Source: RNAcentral
GCAUCUGUACCCUAGUGGUAAAAGGCAGCACUCCAAAUGCUGAGGUCAUGGGUUUGAAUUCCACCAGAUACA